GUGCUCACUUUGGCAGCACAUGUACUAACAUUGGAAUGAUACAGAGAUAAGUAUGGUCCCUUUUGCAAGGAUGACAGGCAAAUUCAUGAAAUGUUUCAUAGUUUU
This is a small nuclear RNA of Heterocephalus glaber (naked mole-rat), 105 nucleotides long. NCBI's taxonomy places the organism in Eukaryota, Metazoa, Chordata, Mammalia, Rodentia, Bathyergidae. The record is from Ensembl.